RNAcentral lists this ribosomal RNA (497 nucleotides) under uncultured bacterium. Its description in RNAcentral is "partial 16S ribosomal RNA". It matches the Rfam family "Bacterial small subunit ribosomal RNA", at positions 28 to 507 of the family's 1533-position model. The record is from RNAcentral.
GAUGAACGCUGGCGGCGUGCCUAAUACAUGCAAGUCGAGCGAACAGACGAUGAGCUUUCUCCACUGAGGUUAGCGGCGGACGGGCGGGUAACACAUGGAUAACCUACCUCUAAGACGGGGAUAACUUCGGGAAACCAGAACCAAUACCAGCAAAUAUAUCCUACCGUUUGGUACAAGAGGGCUUGACACCUUGGCCGACCAAAUCAGACGAAUCCGCGCCGCCUUAGCAAGUUGGUAACGGAACGGCACACCCAGGAAACGAUGCGUAGCCGACCGGAGAGGCUGAUCAGCCCCACUGGCACUGAGGCACGGUCCGGACUCCUACGGGACGCCGCAGUUGGGAAUCUUCCGCAAUGGGCGAUAGCCUGACCGAGCGACACCGCGUGAGUGAUGAAGUCCUUCGGGUCGUAAACCUCUGUUAUUUGGAAAGAAGAAUUGUGUCCUGAACCACCCAUGUCUUGACGGUACCUAACGAGAGAGCCCCGGCUAACUUCGUG